This 1535-nucleotide small RNA is filed under the name Arabidopsis thaliana (thale cress). RNAcentral's name for it is "ATSL173180". Lineage: Eukaryota; Viridiplantae; Streptophyta; Magnoliopsida; Brassicales; Brassicaceae. The record is from RNAcentral.
GGUGGCUUCGGGUGACGAUCCGAGAGCACGCUUUAGGGUGACGACCCGAGAGCGAGUUUUGUGGUAUUAUUUUCUCCAAGUGUCGUAACUCGAUGACUUUGUGGCUGAGAGUGAGUCGACACAACUCUGGGUUUGACUUUGAGUGGGGAAGAUAAUAUGUGUGAUACCCGAGAUAUCGUAGGCCGAAGCCUGAGAGUGACGGUUUAUGCUCGAAGAUUGCGGUCUGAGAGUGGAGAGUGAGUUGUGAGCAACAAUGACUAGUAAAUCGUGAGUAUAUCGACUGGAUAGAGAGACCUAGAGGGGGUCUGGUUGGAGGGAGUGCGGACUGUAGUGAUGGUUGCACGGAGUUCCUCGGAGUGGAAGGGUGAAGCUAGAUUCGAGGACGAAUCUAUGUUAGUGGGAGAGAAUUGUAACGCCCGUGAACCGGAAAAUCGAUUAGGAUUUGUUUUUAAAUCAUCCGGUUUAAUUGGUUGGGUUAAUAACAAACCCUAGAGUGUGCCUAUAAAAGAAGGAACCUCGAAAUUAGGCUUUAGUUAGCCACUUUUCGUUUAUAAAGGAGAAAAAGAGAGAAAAGGAGAAGGAGCAGAAUCAUUAGGGUUUGGGAGAAAUCAGUUUCGUCAUAUCAAAUCGUGGUAAAAGGUAACGAAAUUUGGUAUAGUUAUUCUCAAGUCCUUUAUCGUUAUUCUCCAAUUUACAGAAUUGGAUUUGGAUUAAAAUUGGUUGAGUUAUUCGCAGUUUUGUGAGACACGUUUUCUCAGACGCGAAUUAGGACCAGCGGAGAUUGAAACUGAGAUCGUGGUCUCGUCUGUUUUCCGAUCGGCACGAGAUUUUGUGGGCAGCUUUGUGACGUCUGCAGCUAGGAUAUCACUGGAGCGAUUGAAUAGUUAACGGUUAGCUUGUAUUUUAGGGUUUCGUCUUUGAGACUGCUUGUUUCUGGUUUUUCCUGUCCAGUUUGCUUCAAGGUUGCUUUUGGUUGUGGACUUGUUGUAGGACGUUUAUGGACUGUUUCAGACGCAAGGAGAGUCUCUCCUGUGUUUAAUUGCUCUUAGAAUCAAUUUGUUAAGGUGAGUGCGUGACCAUGAGCUUAUCUGAGCGAUUGGGUUGUGUGAUUUAUUUUGUGUGAUGAUAUGUAGGUGUGGUGAAUGUGUUUUGGGUGAAUUGUUCAAUGACUGAUUUGUUUGUAUUGUAUUCGUGAUUAUACCCUUUUAUUUGCUUGUGUGUAUAGCUCGUAGAUGGGAGGAUCGCCUCACUAAGUAUUUAUGAUAAUAUUUACGCAUCUCGUUGUGUUGUUGAUGCAGGUAAAGAUAAAGUGUGAUCGUGGAAUCAUGGCUAGGAAGAGAGGAUGAUCUAGGAACUCGUUUGUUUUAUUUUUGGUAUUUUUGGUUAUUGGAAUCCGGUUAGGAUUGUCAGUUAUUCUUGGUUUUGUUGGUCGAAUUAUUUAUUUAUUUAUAAAAUAGUAUUUUUGAUUUACGGUUUAAUUAUUAUGUUAUUGGUUGAUUUAAUUAAAUAUUUAUGAGAAUAUUUAAUUAUAUUUU